UACGGAGGAUGCAAGCGUUAUCCGGAAUGAUUGGGCGUAAAGCGUCCGCAGGUGGCUAUGUAAGUCUGCUGUUAAAGAGUGAGGCUCAACCUCAUAAGAGCAGUGGAAACUACAUGGCUAGAGUGCGUUCGGGGCAGAGGGAAUUCCUGGUGUAGCGGUGAAAUGCGUAGAGAUCAGGAAGAACACCGGUGGCGAAAGCGUUCUGCUAGACCUGUACUGACGCUGAGGGACGAAAGCUAGGGGAGCGAAUGGG
Molecule: ribosomal RNA, 253 nt
Filed under: uncultured bacterium
Lineage: Bacteria
Description: partial 16S ribosomal RNA
Rfam family: Bacterial small subunit ribosomal RNA
Source: RNAcentral